This 588-nucleotide ribosomal RNA is filed under the name uncultured bacterium. RNAcentral describes it as "partial 16S ribosomal RNA". It matches the Rfam family "Bacterial small subunit ribosomal RNA", at positions 355 to 1375 of the family's 1533-position model. The record is from RNAcentral.
UGGGGAAUUUUGGACAAUGGGCGAAAGCCUGAUCCAGCAAUGCCGCGUGUGUGAAGAAGGCCUUCGGGUUGUAAAGCACUUUUGUCCGGAAAGAAAUCCUUGGCUCUAAUACAGUCGGGGGAUGACGGUACCGGAAGAAUAAGCACCGGCUAACUACGUGCCAGCAGCCGCGGUAAUACGUAGGGUGCAAGCGUUAAUCGGAAUUACUGGGCGUAAAGCGUGCGCAGGCGGUUUGCUAAGACCGAUGUGAAAUCCCCGGGCUCAACCUGGGAACUGCAUUGGUGACUGGCAGGCUAGAGUAUGGCAGAGGGGGGUAGAAUUCCACGUGUAGCAGUGAAAUGCGUAGAGAUGUGGAGGAAUACCGAUGGCGAAGGCAGCCCCUCGUAGGUCCAAUACUGACGCUCAUGCACGAAAGCGUGGGGAGCAAACAGGAUUAGAUACCCUGGUAGUCCACGCCCUAAACGAUGUCAACUAGUUGUUGGGGAUUCAUUUCCUUAGUAACGUAGCUAACGCGUGAAGUUGACCGCCUGGGGAGUACGGUCGCAAGAUUAAAACUCAAAUGAAUUGACGGGGUCAUAGCUGUUUCCU